RNAcentral lists this ribosomal RNA (491 nucleotides) under uncultured bacterium. Its description in RNAcentral is "bacterial SSU rRNA". It matches the Rfam family "Bacterial small subunit ribosomal RNA", at positions 28 to 532 of the family's 1533-position model. The record is from RNAcentral.
GAUGAACGCUAGCGGCAGGCCUAAUACAUGCAAGUCGAACGAUAGUCUUGUCUUCGGAUGAGAUGAGAGUGGCGCACGGGUGAGUAACACGUAAGUAAUCUACCCUCGAGUGGGGAAUAACAACCGGAAACGGUUGCUAAUACCGCAUAAUGCAGCGGCACCGCAAGGUGACAGUUGUUAAAGGAGCAAUCCGCUUGAGGAGGAGCUUGCGGCAGAUUAGCUAGUUGGUAAGGUAAUGGCUUACCAAGGCUACGAUCUGUAUCCGGUCUAAGAGGACGGUCGGACACACUGACACUGAAUAACGGGUCAGACUCCUACGGGAGGCAGCAGUCGGGAAUUUUGGGCAAUGGGCGAAAGCCUGACCCAGCAACGCCGCGUGAAGGAUGAAGUAUUUCGGUAUGUAAACUUCGAAAGAAUAGGAAGAAUAAAUGACGGUACUAUUUAUAAGCUCCGGCUAACUACGUGCCAGCAGCCGCGGAAGUGACGUCAGA